RNAcentral lists this ribosomal RNA (315 nucleotides) under uncultured bacterium. RNAcentral's name for it is "bacterial SSU rRNA". It matches the Rfam family "Bacterial small subunit ribosomal RNA", at positions 28 to 334 of the family's 1533-position model. The record is from RNAcentral.
GAUGAACGCUAGCUACAGGCUUAACACAUGCAAGUCGAGGGGCAGCAUGGUCUUAGCUUGCUAAGGCCGAUGGCGACCGGCGCACGGGUGAGUAACGCGUAUCCAACCUGCCUUACACUCUUGGACAGCCUUCUGAAAGGGAGAUUAAUACAAGAUGUUAUCAUGAGUAAGCAUUUUCGCAUGAUUAAAGGUUUACCGGUGUAAGAUGGGGAUGCGUUCCAUUAGAUAGUUGGUGGGGUAACGGCCUACCAAGGCGACGAUCAGUAGCCGGACUGAGAGGUUGAACGGCCACAUUGGGACUGAGAUACGGCCCAG